Molecule: small nuclear RNA, 259 nt
Filed under: Mus caroli (Ryukyu mouse)
Lineage: Eukaryota; Metazoa; Chordata; Mammalia; Rodentia; Muridae
Description: sRNA (MGP_CAROLIEiJ_G0008938.1)
Rfam family: 7SK RNA
About the family: 7SK was discovered as an abundant small nuclear RNA in the mid-70s but a possible function has only recently been suggested. Two independent studies have found that 7SK RNA binds the CDK9/cyclin T complex (known as elongation factor P-TEFb).
Source: RNAcentral
AGAUUUGGGAGAAUAAUCUGGCUACAACAUCUGUCACUCCAUUGACCACCAGGAUUGAUUUACCUGAUGUGGCUUGGCUAGACAGGUGUCCCCUUCCCCAUGACCAUUCCAUGUAUGUGUAGCCUUCCUUCCUGAAGGUGCAUGCUCCAUUGAAGAGGAUGGUUCUUCCCAAAAGAAGACCAGUCUUCAAUCAAAAUCAUAAGAGUAGCUGCGCCCUAAAGCCCACACUAGGCCCAGUCUGCCUCUUCUGCCUGCUUAU